This 2477-nucleotide long non-coding RNA is filed under the name Homo sapiens (human). RNAcentral's name for it is "LHRI_LNC656.14". Lineage: Eukaryota; Metazoa; Chordata; Mammalia; Primates; Hominidae. The record is from RNAcentral.
CCUGCCGCUAUGCAAGGCGUGACUUUGCUCCUCCUUUGCCUUCUGACAUGAUUGUGAGGCCUCCCCAGCCAUGUGGAACUGAUUAAAAAAACCCACGCUGCUGAUAUCCUUGUCAGCCUUUUCCUGAAUCAUUGCUGUGCAGCUCCAGGGAGCCACGGGCCGGUGCCUUCUGACCGGCAGACUCCGUCCAUGGGCCUUCCUGUCCUUGGGGUCCUGGAGCUCUCUGUCUGAGCCUCCUUGGCCACUGAAGCAACACCCAGAGGCCUGCAUCCUCUAAGAAAUGCCAGCCAGGGUUGCAGAUGGAGCCAAGAAUUGAAAAUCUGGCCGAGUCUUUCCAUCUCACAGAUGAGCAAGCUGAACCUCAGAGGGCUUAGUGAUGUGGUUGAGGCACAGCCACCAAGGAUCAAUGACUGAGCCUCAAAACCACCUCUUCUGAGAGUACUGCUUUCUUACCCGAGGAUGGCCCAUCAGGGUGAUCUGGAAGGCAGAAGACGGGAGUUUUUCUGUGAACUCACUGUGGUGGGGGUGGUCCUUGGAAAAGUACUGAGUACACAGAAGUGGCGACGGGCAAAUGGAGAUCCUGGAAAAGGAGGUUUUCUACCAAAAUAUCCUUGUGAACAUGAGGACAGCUUCCAAACUGAGAAAGAGUGGGCUCGAGAAAGCUCUAAUGCUUCUUUCCCUGACACGAAGUGCUUCGUGCAGUGUUUGGCAUCAACAUGUCGGAGCCGUGGCAACGUUCUCCGUGCAUCCCCGCUUGGGCGUCAUUUUAAAGGGCCCACCUUGUGUACGAGAUGCACUUUGAUUUACUGACUUGCUUACGGAGAAAGGAGUCGUGGAAAUGUACCUGGCUGUGAGACAUAUAUUCACAGACACGUGUACAUCUUUAUGCCCACACAGAAGGGUAACAGCAGCCUUGCUUCAGAGGCCACACCUUCCAGGAAACCCUUCAGCCUGCCGUGUCUUAGCUGAUCCCUCUGCCAUCCCCUUGCAGAAGGAGCUUGGAGUCUCUCAGCUCAGCUGGACUAGAUGAAUCUUCUCAGGGUCGUCUUCUCCCACCUCUGGCUCCCAGUUCCUUCCCCCAGUCUCUCCCUCCCUGCUCUGUGUGAUCAGGGAAGCUGCAAACCCAACCCUUACAUCAAAAGGGAACUUGAAAAAUACUUGGAGCAAAAACUGCUAACUGUGCAUCCUUGCUGUAUGCUGGCGCUGAUAUUAAAUCAGGAAAUGGCACUGAACAGCCGCUCCGAACACAGAAACAGGGGUUGUCAACACAGCAACCAAAAGCAAUCUCUAACGGGCAGAGGUGAAAGGGACCUGGCACAGGGCCAGGAGGGGGGCUGCAACCCAGGAAAGAAUUCCUGAGCUGAGUGUGUCUGUGCCACCUCUCCAGUGUCCAGAAUGAAGCCUGGAUCUCAGUCCCUGGCAUGGAAUGCACCUUGUCUCUCUCCAUGAGGGAUGAAAGAUAAUUAGAUAAUUAAGCAUGUUGCUUAAAUACCUUUGAAAUUCUCCUUUUUAUUUCCAUACAUGUUUACCGAGCACCCACUAUGUGCCUGACAGUCCAAUAAAAAAGAUGCCUUCCCAUGUGGAGAUGACCUUCUAGCCCUCAGGACAGAACUCUGACCCUUUGACAUGGCAUUCAAGGUCCUUCGAGUGUUGGCUCCUGCAGAAGCUUUCAUCUCUGUUUCCAGCCUCCCUGAAAUAGCUCCCCAAGGGCACGAGGCAGUACCUUUGCUCCAUGCCUUUGCUUGGACUAGUCCUACCACCAGCAAUUCCUGCAUUUCUGUGUUUGGCAAGUUUCUGCUCAGCCUCCAAAGCCUUAACCAAGUGUCACCUUUUCUCUGCAGCAUUUUCUGCCACCCUCCCCAUUUCUUCCAAUAGAACCAGGGAUCUUUUACUUGGGAUCCAGAAGCACUGUGGACAUAUUGCCAUCACAACACCUUUCAUGUCACAAUGGCAAGGUUUGCACUGUCUUGGAGGAGAGGAAGGAAGCCAUAUUCAUCCCUGAACCCUCAUCUCCCAGCACUGGUUGUAAAACUGAAACAAAAAUGGAAAACCUUGAUGAAAUUCAUUGUUGGUGUGGCUAUGGGGAAACAGAUUUUCCAUUUCUGAUAGUAAAUGAAAUAGGCACCAUCUUGUUAGAGGCUAAUUUGACAUUAUUAACACUGAAAAUGCACACAUCUUUCAACCCAGCAAUUUUAUUUCUUGCUUUCUAGAGGAAUGUUUGCCCAUGUGCAGAAAGGCGCAUGUAAAAAGCUGAGUUGCAGCAUUGUUUGCAAUAGUAAAAGAUUUGAAAUUGCUUAAAUGUCGGUCAAUAUGGCCUGGAUAAAAAACUAUAGGGCAUCCAUUGGAUAGAAUGCUAUGCAUUAGUUAAAAAGAAGUAGAUUUCCAUGUAUUGACCAAGCAUUUGCUGAGUAAAAAUCAAAAGCAAGCUGUAGCUCUAGACAUAGAUGUUAAAAUUACAUUGCUGCAUUUUUUCACAA